RNAcentral lists this long non-coding RNA (2647 nucleotides) under Homo sapiens (human). RNAcentral's name for it is "HSALNT0306713". The record is from RNAcentral. Lineage: Eukaryota; Metazoa; Chordata; Mammalia; Primates; Hominidae.
GUUAGAAUGAGUUAUGGUUUUGGUAAGUGUCCUCCUGGCAUCUAGAAACUGACUAAUCCAAAUACUAAAAAAUGUUUAUAGAGGCAGCCUUCAUUGCACUUUUUAAUUCAAAAGCAAGUGGCAUAGAAGUCAACCAGAAAGACAACAAUCAUUAUUACUUCAACAGCUUUUGUAUUCUCUUACCCACCAAAUUUCCUAACCAGACGAAACUAGAAAUAUAACCUGGAAAGGAAUCCCUUUCUAAAUCAAAUUACAUGAAGAAUUUAAUUCACUAUGCUUUUUGGUAAAUAGGUUGGAAUAGUUGCCUCAAGCUGUCACUCCUUGAAAAUGUACGUGUCCUAGACAAGGUUGCUGAUGUCACGGUUAGGAGUUCACUUCCUGGGAGAGGUUUACAAUUGAAGCUGAGGUGUAUCUGAUUCAGCCCUUAGGCAGAAAAACUGGAUGAAGCAGUUUUUCCCCUUUCUCUUUUACAGACUGUGUGAUUUGUGCAACAGCUUUGGCUUGGCAAAUAGGGAAGUGUCAGAGCUAAAUCAGCUUUACUCUAAGGGCAUGGUGUGCCUGUGUUUCUCAGCUCACUGAUACCUAAAUCCAGGACCAUUUUACUUCAAGUGGAAUACACACACAGAGCAAACAUUCUCAAGGUCAGGUAUACCUGUUCUUUGUAUUCCACAGCAAGAACCAUUUUCCUUGUUCAGAAACAGGCAAAGAACUCAUUUGUGCUUCAGAACAGUAAACUCCAUGAAAAAAAUACGUUCAAAGAACCACUUUUUAAAAAGAAGAUGUUAUGCAAUCAGUAUUUUUGGGAUUAUCAAAUAUGUGAGAGCUAGGGGGAGGGUGGUAGCCCUGGUUUACCUUCAUGAGUGCAUGAUUGGCAAUCUGUUAUGCUUGUGGGAUGGCCAGAUAUCUAAGACAUACGGAAGGGAACAAUUGAAGCAAAUAACUAUAUAAUUCAAGCAAUAUUCUCUGACUUUUCUUCAAUUACUUACAGUAUUUCAAGCAGCAAUAGAGGUGGGGCCUGAGUUAUUUGGGCUAUUUCUUCCUUUUCUAUUUUCUUUCGGUGGAAUAAGUAAAAGUAAGUGAUGUGCUUUGUGUGUGUGUGUGUGUGUGUGUGUGUGUGUGUGUGUGUGUGUGUGUUACUGUUAUUGUUAUAUUUUGCAGUCAGACAGAGCUUUUUUUUUUGAGUAAACAAGAUUCAGCAACUUAAAGAGGACCUGAGUUGUCCAAAUGCCUGUUUUGGAAUGGGGAAGUGUGGAUUUUUCCUUUUCACUAUAUCUUAUGCUAUUAGAGACAGAUGCACGAUUAUGGAUGGCUGUGUUGUAUACCUGCACAGGCUCAGGAAACAGCCCUGGGUUCCCCUCAACUUCUUAGUCAUGAAUGAUGCCCUAUUGUUUCCUUUCAGGUUUUGCCUCUUCACAUCUCUUACCUUUUUCCCCCUUAGUUUUAUGUAAAUCAUGUGGAUAAUGGAAUGAAAUGGUUUCCAUGGAGCUGAACAAAUAUAGGUCAUAUUAUAAGGGACUCUUCCUCUCUUGAUGUACACAGUUUCAGAGACUGGGAAGUCCAAAAUCAAGACACCGGCAGAUUCUGUGUCUUGGAUGGCCUGCUUUCUGGUUCAAAGACUACUGCCUUUUCACUAGAGAAGAGGAGACAGAGUACUCUGAGACAUCUUUUAUUAGGGCACUAAUUCCAUUCACAAGAUUUCUGCCCUUGUAAGCUAAUCACCUUCCAAGAUGCCCCACUUCUUAAUACUAUCACCUUGCGAGCUAGGAUUUUAGUGUAUGCAUUUUCUGGUGACACAAACAUUCAGACCAUUGCAGUGGCCAUGAGAAAUGAACUUGCAGACCUCCAGCUACAGGAAGCAUGAGUGAACAACAGCACUGGCUUCUGAGAUCUGAAAUCCACCAAUACAUAGGCAAUGAGGCUGUGUGUAGGCUGCUCCCAGCCAGUGAAUGACUGGGUGCAAGAGGGAUACUAGGGCAGGUUCAUUCCUGGAACACAGCCUCUCAGUGUGGUCACUUUGGCUCAAAGACACCUUGACAGCCUUUUUGAACCUUCCUUAUACUUCACGGCAGUCUAGGACACUUUCACCCCACCUUCCUUCUCUUUUACUUGGAGACUACAGACUUGCAUUGUGAUCUGAAGGCUCCCUCUUCAUGUUCUGUCACAAGUAAUUCUCCCAAUAAAAUCCUUGCUUCUUGGUGUCUGCUUCUUGGAGAACCUACACUAACACAUAUGUUCCUUAAUGAUAGUUGUUUUAAAAGUAUGUUUAUUACUGAUUAUGUGCAAAGCACUCUCUUGACUUAGUGCAUGAUGCAAAGCUGAAUUAAACAUAUUUUAUUAUUCCAAAUAAGUGAGAGCCUCCUACUCAUGAGCGGUGUCAUAAGGCUAAAAGAGAUAAUAUUGAAAACUUUUGCCCCUUGGAAGAGAGAUGCCGUAAAAAUUAAUGAUGGACAAAAUAAAAUUAAAGGGCAUCUUUUAAAAUAGUGUCAUUUAGAAAUGUGGCACCAGUGCAUUUCUAUUCUGUAAUGUAACUUUGCUCUAGCAUAAUUCCUCAGGCAGGUGUUUGAGAAUAAAAUACGCAAAGAAGGGUUUACAACAUGGGCUUAAUGUAGUCUGAAAUAUGCUAUGUAUUUUGGUAAUCAUAGGUCUA